RNAcentral lists this ribosomal RNA (1674 nucleotides) under Triticum aestivum (bread wheat). Its description in RNAcentral is "partial small subunit ribosomal RNA". The record is from RNAcentral. Lineage: Eukaryota; Viridiplantae; Streptophyta; Magnoliopsida; Poales; Poaceae.
AUGGAAUAUUAUGAACAAACACAUGAUGAAAAUCCCAAGGAGGAUGACGAGGAAACCCUUGGUAGGGGCAAGAGACAAAGGACUGCAAAGACCUUUGGUGAUGAUUUCUUCGUGUACCUCGUGGAUGAUACUCCCACUUCUAUUUCAGAAGCGUAUGCCUCUCCAGAAGCUGACUACUGGAAGGAUGCGGUCCAUAGCGAGAUGGAUUCCAUCAUGGCUAACGGGACAUGGGAGAUCACUGACCGUCCCUAUGGUUGCAAACCACUGGGAUGUAAGUGGGUGUUCAAAAAGAAGCUUAGGCCCGAUGGUACGAUUGAAAAGUACAAGGCUAGGCUUGUGGCCAAGGGCUAUGACCAGCAAGAAGAGGAAGAUUUCUUUGAUACUUAUUCACCUGUGGCUAGACUGACCACCAUUCGAGUAUUACUCUCGUUGGCGGCCUCACAUGGUCUUCUCGUCCAUCAGAUGGAUGUUAAGACGGCUUUUCUAAAUGGAGAGCUAAAGGAGGAAAUCUACAUGCAACAUCCUGAUGGCUUUGUGAUAGAUGGUCAGGAAAGAAAGGUGUGUAGGUUGAUAAAAUCUUUAUAUGGCCUGAAACAAGCACCUAAGCAAUGGCAUGAUAAGUUUAAUACAACUCUGACAUCUGUUGGUUUCGUUGUUAAUGAGGCUGACAAAUGUGUAUACUAUCGCCAUGGUGGGGGCGAAGGAGUUAUACUGUGCUUGUAUGUUGAUGACAUACUGAUAUUCGGAACAAACCUCAAAGUCAUUGAGGAGGUCAAAUCGUUUCUAUCUCAGAACUUUGAGAUGAAAGACCUUGGUGUGGCUGAUGUUAUCUUGAACAUCAAGCUACUGAGAGAUAAUGAGGGUGGGAUCACACUUCUGCAAUCCCAUUACGUUGAGAAGGUGUUGAGUCGUUUUGGAUAUUCGGACUGCACACCAUCUCAAACACCAUAUGAUCCUAGCGUAUUGAUUCGAAAGUCCAAAGGCAUUGCUAAAGAUCAAUUGAGAUACUCUCAAAUCAUUGGUUCACUGAUGUACCUAGCAAGCGCAACGAGGCCUGACAUCGCGUUUGCUAUGAGCAAACUGAGCCGGUUUGUUUCCAAACCGGGUGAUGUACAUUGGCAUGCUGUUGAGAGAGUUAUGCGCUAUCUGAAAGGUACUAUGAACUAUGGACUUCACUAUACCGGAUACCCGUCGGUACUUGAAGGGUAUAGUGAUGCGAAUUGGAUCUCUGAUGCUGAUGAGAUGAAGGCCACAACUGGGUAUAUGUUUACUCUUGGAGGUGGCGCUGUUUCCUGGAAGUCUUGCAAGCAAACGAUCUUAACGAGAUCGACAAUGGAAGCAGAAUUAACGGCAUUAGACACAUCUGGUGUUGAAGCGAGAUGGCUUCGAGAUCUUUUGAUGGACUUGCCAUUGGUUGAUAAACCGGUUCCGGCUAUCCUAAUGAACUGUGACAAUCAGACUGUCAUCACCAAGGUGAAGAGUUCAAAGGACAACAUGAAGUCCACCAAACACAUAAGAAUGAGAUUAAAAGUUGUCAGAAAAUUAAGAAACUCCGGAGUGAUAGCGCUGGACUAUGUCCAUACAGCUAAGAAUCUGGCAGAUCCCUUUACAAAAGGGCUAUCACGUGUUGUGAUAGAUAAUGCAUCGAGGGAGAUGGGUAUGAGACCCACAUGA